Molecule: ribosomal RNA, 902 nt
Filed under: uncultured bacterium
Lineage: Bacteria
Description: bacterial SSU rRNA
Rfam family: Bacterial small subunit ribosomal RNA
Source: RNAcentral
UGAACGCUGGCGGCAUGCCUUACACAUGCAAGUCGAACGGCAGCACGGGGGCAACCCUGGUGGCGAGUGGCGAACGGGUGAGUAAUAUAUCGGAACGUGCCCUGGAGUGGGGGAUAACGCAGCGAAAGUUGCGCUAAUACCGCAUACGAUCUACGGAUGAAAGUGGGGGAUCCGCAAGGACCUCAUGCUCGUGGAGCGGCCGAUAUCUGAUUAGCUAGUUGGUAGGGUAAAAGCCUACCAAGGCAUCGAUCAGUAGCUGGUCUGAGAGGACGACCAGCCACACUGGAACUGAGACACGGUCCAGACUCCUACGGGAGGCAGCAGUGGGGAAUUUUGGACAAUGGGGGCAACCCUGAUCCAGCAAUGCCGCGUGAGUGAAGAAGGCCUUCGGGUUGUAAAGCUCUUUUGUCGGGGAAGAAACGGUUCAUCCUAAUACGAUGGACUAAUGACGGUACCCGAAGAAUAAGCACCGGCUAACUACGUGCCAGCAGCCGCGGUAAUACGUAGGGUGCAAGCGUUAAUCGGAAUUACUGGGCGUAAAGCGUGCGCAGGCGGUUAUGUAAGACAGAUGUGAAAUGCCCGGGCUCAACCUGGGAACUGCAUUUGUGACUGCAUGGCUAGAGUGUGUCAGAGGGGGGUAGAAUUCCACGUGUAGCAGUGAAAUGCGUAGAGAUGUGGAGGAAUACCGAUGGCGAAGGCAGCCCCCUGGGAUAACACUGACGCUCAUGCACGAAAGCGUGGGGAGCAAACAGGAUUAGAUACCCUGGUAGUCCACGCCCUAGACGAUGUCAACUGGUUGUUGGGAGGGUUUCUUCUCAGUAACGAAGCUAACGCGUGAAGUUGACCGCCUGGGGAGUACGGCCGCAAGGUUGAACUCAAGGAAUUGACGGGGACCCGCACAA